AGUUAUGAAACCACCAACUCUUAAAGUACCCCAAUUAAAAUCUAUUCCAACAUAUAUAUAUAACUUACUGUAAUUUAAGUUUCGUAGCAAUGAAACUGGCACCUAGCCUUGUAAUUUUCUUUUUGGGGUUGGUUUAUUGAUGAGUUGGAAAUGAUGUGAUCAGUUUGUCUUCAAACACAAGUGACAAGGUGCUAAUUCGACGAUUCAUCAUAUAGUAGCAACCUUCACAAGGUCCAAUU
RNAcentral lists this unclassified non-coding RNA (239 nucleotides) under Hevea brasiliensis (rubber tree). Lineage: Eukaryota; Viridiplantae; Streptophyta; Magnoliopsida; Malpighiales; Euphorbiaceae. The record is from RNAcentral.